UACGUAGGGUGCGAGCGUUGUCCGGAAUUAUUGGGCGUAAAGAGCUUGUAGGUGGUUUGUCGCGUCUGCUGUGAAAAUCCGAGGCUCAACCUCGGACUUGCAGUGGGUACGGGCAGACUAGAGUGUGGUAGGGGAGACUGGAAUUCCUGGUGUAGCGGUGAAAUGCGCAGAUAUCAGGAGGAACACCGGUGGCGAAAGCGGCUCACUGGGUCUCAACUGACGCUGAUGCACGAAAGCUAGGGUAGCGAACGGG
This 253-nucleotide ribosomal RNA is filed under the name uncultured bacterium. Its description in RNAcentral is "partial 16S ribosomal RNA". It matches the Rfam family "Bacterial small subunit ribosomal RNA", at positions 524 to 776 of the family's 1533-position model. The record is from RNAcentral.